UACGGAGGGUGCAAGCGUUGUCCGGAAUCACUGGGCGUAAAGCGCGUGUAGGCGGCUAAGUAAGUCGGGCGUGAAAUCCCACGGCUCAACCGUGGAAGUGCACUCGAAACUGCAUAGCUAGAGUCCUGGAGAGGAAGGUGGAAUGCUUGGUGUAGAGGUGAAAUUCGUAGAUAUCAAGCGGAACACCGGUGGCGAAGGCGGCCUUCUGGACAGUGACUGACGCUGAGACGGCGAAAGCGUGGGAGCAAACAGG
RNAcentral lists this ribosomal RNA (253 nucleotides) under uncultured bacterium. RNAcentral's name for it is "partial 16S ribosomal RNA". It matches the Rfam family "Bacterial small subunit ribosomal RNA", at positions 524 to 776 of the family's 1533-position model. The record is from RNAcentral.